RNAcentral lists this ribosomal RNA (305 nucleotides) under uncultured bacterium. RNAcentral describes it as "partial 16S ribosomal RNA". It matches the Rfam family "Bacterial small subunit ribosomal RNA", at positions 505 to 807 of the family's 1533-position model. The record is from RNAcentral.
ACAGCAGCAGCCGCGGGAAAACGGAGGAUCCAAGCGUUAUCCGGAAUCAUUGGGUUUAAAGGGUCCGUAGGCGGUCUUGUAAGUCAGUGGUGAAAGCCCAUCGCUCAACGGUGGAACGGCCAUUGAUACUGCAGGACUUGAAUUAUUGGGAAGUAACUAGAAUAUGUAGUGUAGCGGUGAAAUGCUUAGAGAUUACAUGGAAUACCAAUUGCGAAGGCAGGUUACUACCAAUUGAUUGACGCUGAUGGACGAAAGCGUGGGUAGCGAACAGGAUUAGAUACCCCCGUAGUCCCUGUCUCUUAUAC